RNAcentral lists this ribosomal RNA (253 nucleotides) under uncultured bacterium. RNAcentral's name for it is "partial 16S ribosomal RNA". It matches the Rfam family "Bacterial small subunit ribosomal RNA", at positions 524 to 776 of the family's 1533-position model. The record is from RNAcentral.
UACGCAGGGGGCUAGCGUUGUUCGGAAUUACUGGGCGUAAAGCGCACGUAGGCGGGUUGUUAAGUCAGGGGUGAAAUCCCGGAGCUCAACUCCGGAACUGCCUUUGAUACUGGCAACCUAGAGGCUGGAAGAGGUUAGUGGAAUUCCCAGUGUAGAGGUGAAAUUCGUAGAUAUUGGGAAGAACACCAGUGGCGAAGGCGGCUAACUGGUCCAGUACUGACGCUGAGGUGCGAAAGCGUGGGGAGCAAACAGG